ACGAAAGUAGCAAGUACUUAGGUGGCAGACGGGUGAGUAACAUGUAGGUAUCUGCCCUUUGGCCGUGCAAUAACACGAGGAAACGUUGUGCUAAUACCGGGAUAAGUCUUCUACGGAGAAAGCUGUUAUGCACCAGUUGGAUGGAGCCUGCACUUGAUUAGUUUGUUGGUGGGGUAAUAGCCUACCAGAGACUGUGAUCAAUAGCUGAUUUUGAGAGGAUGAUCAGCCACAUUGGGACUGAGACACGGCCCAAACUCCUACGGGAGGCAGCAGUGGGGAAUCUUGCACAAUGGAGGAAACUCUGAUGCAGCGAUGCCGCGUGAGUGAAGAAGGCCCUUGGGUUGUAAAGCUCUUUCGUCGGGGAAGAAAAUGACUGUACCCGAAUAAGAAGGUCCGGCUAACUUCGUGCCAGCAGCCGCGGUAAUACGAAGGGACCUAGCGUAGUUCGGAAUUACUGGGCUUAAAGAGUUCGUAGGUGGUUAAAAAAGUUGGUGGUGAAAUCCCAGAGCUUAACUCUGGAACUGCCAUCAAAACUUUUAGACUAGAGUAUGAUAGAGGAAAGCAGAAUUUCUAGUGUAGAGGUGAAAUU
Molecule: ribosomal RNA, 589 nt
Filed under: uncultured Alphaproteobacteria bacterium
Lineage: Bacteria; Pseudomonadati; Pseudomonadota; Alphaproteobacteria
Description: bacterial SSU rRNA
Rfam family: Bacterial small subunit ribosomal RNA
Source: RNAcentral